UACGGAGGGGGCUAGCGUUGUUCGGAAUUACUGGGUGUAAAGCGCACGUAGGCGGACUGGCCAGUUGGGGGUGAAAUCCCGAGGCUUAACCUCGGAACUGCCCUCAAUACUGUCAGUCUUGAGUUCGAGAGAGGUGAGUGGAAUUCCUAGUGUAGAGGUGAAAUUCGUAGAUAUUGGGAAGAACACCAGUGGCGAAGGCGGCUCACUGGCUCGCAACUGACGCUGAGGCGCGAAAGCGUGGGGAGCAAACAGG
Molecule: unclassified non-coding RNA, 253 nt
Filed under: uncultured Alphaproteobacteria bacterium
Lineage: Bacteria; Pseudomonadati; Pseudomonadota; Alphaproteobacteria
Description: contains 16S-23S intergenic spacer region
Rfam family: Bacterial small subunit ribosomal RNA
Source: RNAcentral